GUCGAUUUGGUGUAUUUUAGCAUGGUGGCUUUUCGUGUCAUUGGGAAUUUGGAGUUAAUCGAUA
RNAcentral lists this transfer RNA (64 nucleotides) under Dicrocoelium chinensis. Its description in RNAcentral is "tRNA-Glu". Lineage: Eukaryota; Metazoa; Platyhelminthes; Trematoda; Plagiorchiida; Dicrocoeliidae. The record is from RNAcentral.